RNAcentral lists this transfer RNA (66 nucleotides) under Sus scrofa cristatus. RNAcentral describes it as "tRNA-Phe". The record is from RNAcentral. Lineage: Eukaryota; Metazoa; Chordata; Mammalia; Artiodactyla; Suidae.
ACCCAGAUUAUUAAAAUUAUGAAUGAAAAAGGAGAGGUCACGACGAACACCAUUGAAAUUGGAAGG